RNAcentral lists this ribosomal RNA (468 nucleotides) under uncultured bacterium. Its description in RNAcentral is "partial 16S ribosomal RNA". It matches the Rfam family "Bacterial small subunit ribosomal RNA", at positions 28 to 507 of the family's 1533-position model. The record is from RNAcentral.
GACGAACGCUGGCGGCGUGCUUAACACAUGCAAGUCGAACGGUGAAGCUCCAGCUUGCUGGAGUGGAUCAGUGGCGAACGGGUGAGUAACACGUGAGCAACCUGCCCCUGACUCUGGAAUAAGCGCUGGAAACGGCGUCUAAUACUGGAUACGAGAAGGGUCCGCAUGGGCACUUUCUGGAAAGUUUUUCGGUUGGGGAUGGGCUCGCGGCCUAUCAGCUUGUUGGUGAGGUAAUGGCUCACCAAGGCGACGACGGGUAGCCGGCCUGAGAGGGCGACCGGCCACACUGGGACUGAGACACGGCCCAGACUCCUACGGGAGGCAGCAGUGGGGAAUAUUGCACAAUGGGCGAAAGCCUGAUGCAGCGACGCCGCGUGAGGGAUGACGGCCUUCGGGUUGUAAACCUCUUUCAGCAGGGAAGUAGCGAAAGUGACGGUACCUGCAGAAGAAGCACCGGCUAACUACGUG